RNAcentral lists this transfer RNA (75 nucleotides) under Enterococcus phage EFDG1. RNAcentral describes it as "tRNA-Val". It matches the Rfam family "tRNA". From Rfam's summary of the family: Transfer RNA (tRNA) molecules are approximately 80 nucleotides in length. Their secondary structure includes four short double-helical elements and three loops (D, anti-codon, and T loops). Lineage: Duplodnaviria; Heunggongvirae; Uroviricota; Caudoviricetes; Herelleviridae. The record is from RNAcentral.
ACCGUCUUAGUUCAGUGGGAGAACGCCACCCUUACAAGGUGGAUGUCACAGGUUCAAAUCCUGUAGACGGUAUCA